CCGCUGCCACAGGUGCUGCCCCCGGCUACUCUUCUCGUUCUGCGCCCACGUGACAGAUUUUCCAUUGGAGCUGCGGAGAGAAGAGAGACAAGAGGACCUUGAAAUGAGGACGCAGAUGGCCAGGAGGAAGGAUGCUAAACAUGAGCAUUCAAACCAUUUACUGAAUACCCCAUGUGCAAGGCACUGUGAUAAGGAGCACGUGGAUAACUCUAUGCCAUUGAUAAGUUCAUAGCCUGGAGUGGGAGGAUGAAAUUAAUUUUCCUGAAGAAUGACGUUAUAGAACCUCCUCAUAUUAUGCCCCCGGAGCUGUGUAGGGGGUCAGCAGGAGCUGAGAUGACCCCAUGAUUACGGAUCACAGCUCAUGAACCUGCACUGUGGGACAUACUCUGUGUUCUACUCAUGGUGACCCUGUGAGCAUAAGGCAGAGCGUGCUGUGUAUUAUUGUCCUCACCGGCCAGAGGCUCUGAGAGUUACGUGCUUUGUCUAAGACCCCAGCUUGGACGGGGCACAGCCAGGACUGGAAUCCACGUCCUUGCCGACCGCGCUCACUUCCCCAUACCGCGCUACUUCUGCUGACUUGGAACGUAAUCGGCGCUGACAGGCUACCUUGUUCUAUGAUGUCACCUCGACUGGUCUGUCUGUGUACCAAAAAAAAAGGUCACCUUUGGGGUCAUUUCCCUGGGUGUAAAAUCAGAAUCAAAAUAUGAAUAUUUUAUGCGGCAGAAGUACAUUCACAGUGACCUUAUUUAUGAACAACAACUAUAAAAUGAGAUACAUGGUUGAGAAAAUGAAUCUGCAGGAAGGCAAUAUUAGAGUGAAAAAAAGCUAUGAAAACCUGU
Molecule: long non-coding RNA, 839 nt
Organism: Aethalodelphis obliquidens (Pacific white-sided dolphin)
Lineage: Eukaryota; Metazoa; Chordata; Mammalia; Artiodactyla; Delphinidae
Exons: 4
Source: RefSeq, a predicted model, not a curated record